UACGGGGGGGGGCAAGCGUUGUUCGGAAUUCUGGGCGUAAAGGGCUCGUAGGCGGUUUGUCGCGUCGGGAGUGAAAACACCGGGCUUAACUCGGUGCUUGCUUUCGAUACGGGCAGACUAGAGGCAUGCAGGGGAGAACGGAAGUUCCUGGUUGUAGCGGUGAAAUGGCGUAGAUAUCUGGAGGAAUACCGGUGGCGAAGGCGGCAUCCUGGAGCCGACAUUGACGCUGAAGCCGAAAGCUAGGGAGCAACGGG
This 254-nucleotide ribosomal RNA is filed under the name uncultured bacterium. Its description in RNAcentral is "partial 16S ribosomal RNA". It matches the Rfam family "Bacterial small subunit ribosomal RNA", at positions 524 to 776 of the family's 1533-position model. The record is from RNAcentral.